Molecule: ribosomal RNA, 836 nt
Filed under: uncultured archaeon
Lineage: Archaea
Description: bacterial SSU rRNA
Rfam family: Archaeal small subunit ribosomal RNA
Source: RNAcentral
ACGGCUCAGUAACACGUGGAUAACCUACCCUCAGGACGGGGAUAAACCCGGGAAACUGGGUAUAAUACCCGAUAGAUCUCGGAGGCUGGAAUGCAUCGAGAUCGAAAGCUCCGGUGCCCGAGGAUGGAUCUGCGGCCUAUCAGGUAGUAGUGGGUGUAGCGUACCUACUAGCCUACGACGGGUACGGGUUGUGAGAGCAAGAGCCCGGAGAUGGAUUCUGAGACACGAAUCCAGGCCCUACGGGGUGCAGCAGGCGCGAAAACUUUACAAUGCUGGCAACAGCGAUAAGGGGACCUCGAGUGCCAGGUUACAAAUCUGGCUGUCGAGAUGCCUAAAAAGCAUUUCAUAGCAAGGGCCGGGCAAGACCGGUGCCAGCCGCCGCGGUAACACCGGCGGCUCGAGUGGUAACCGUUAUUAUUGGGUCUAAAGGGUCUGUAGCCGGCCGGAUAAGUCUCUUGGGAAAUCUGGCAGCUUAACUGUCAGGCUUUCAGGAGAUACUGUUCGGCUCGAGGCCGGGAGAGGUGAGAGGUACUUCAGGGGUAGGGGUGAAAUCUUGUAAUCCUUGAAGGACCACCAGUGGCGAAGGCGUCUCACCAGAACGGACCUGACGGCAAGGGACGAAAGCUAGGGGCACGAACCGGAUUAGAUACCCGGGUAGUCCUAGCCGUAAACGAUACUCGCUAGGUGUCGGCCACGGUGCGACCGUUGUCGGUGCCGUAGGGAAGCCGUGAAGCGAGCCACCUGGGAAGUACGGCCGCAAGGCUGAAACUUAAAGGAAUUGGCGGGGGAGCACCACAACGGGUGGAGCUUGCGGUUUAAUUGGAUUCAACGCCGGG